GUCAAGGGCUUGUGGCAUGCUUGACACCUGAGUUCUCCCGAGAAGGGCAUGGUUAACUUUCCUUUGAAGGUGGCAAACUUGCCCCUAUCUAGAGACUUAUAGUGACUUCUUCCUUGCCAAAGAAACCAAGCCCUCUGCCAGGGACUGAGCCAAUCAGUGCUCAGUCCCAGACCUCCCUUCCCAGGGGAGGGUAAAUGAGCAGCCUGAGUCCAGCAGCUUUUUGAGCUCCUGGGUAUCGUGGUGUCAGACACACAGAAAAAAGAGGACAUGAUCAAUAGAUGGAAGAGAAAAUAUUUAAAAGCGUAUGUUAUGAGAAUCCACAGCCUACAGAAGUCGUUGGUACAGAGUUUGAGGCCAGACUGUCUGAUUUGAAUGUAGCUCCUCCAUUGACUACAGGCAAUUGAGACUUUCCAACACAGCGGCCCCAUAGACUGGGAAACUGUUGGGGUUGUUGAGAGCCUAGUUUACAGAAUUAAUAUUUGUAAGUUCCAGAGCGAAAACAUUUGUCCUGAAAGGAAGCUCAGCAGUCAAGUCUGGUAAGGUUCAGGUUGCAAUUCAUUCCAGGAAAAAGUUAUCAGAAUUCACCCAGGUCAGAGGCUUCCAUCCAAGCUACUCUAUGGCUGGCCAUAAAAUUACCGACAUAUUCCUUUGUGGUUGGGAAUCUGUUGCUAGCAACAGAAGAUGAAGAAUUUCCAUGCUGAAUGCACAGAAUACCCAAGACUAUGACCAAUGAAGUACAGAGGUUUUGGCUAGACCAUGGCUUGGGAUGCUAUGAAAGCCACGACCAUGGCUUCAAUAUUUCUUCACUUCUAGAGAGAGAGUCCUCACACUGCUUCACCUCACAGCAGGAAGCAGAAAGGCAGAUUAAGAUCUUGAACUUUCAACACCUUCUCUAGUACCAUGACUGCCUGCAUGCCCCUAUGUUUCCUGCUGUGAUGAUAAUGGAGUAAACCUCUGAAACUCUUUCCUCAAGAAAAUUUGGAGGGCAACUCAAACCUACCUUUCCAUAAAAUAAAGUGCACUCAGCGGUGAACUGAUCACUCAGAGAUUUCCAUGGUUUGUGUGUUGAAUGGAAGGAGCUCUCUCGGGAUCUGACAAACUCCUCAAGGCUUUGGGGAUAGAACCUGCAGGAAUUUCUGAGGUUGGCUGAAUCAAUUGUGUAGAUCUCUUUUCAGUAAACUCAAUUGCUAUUCUGAGAGAAACACAAUCCAAGUAUAUGUACACUUUAAAAAUCUUCUUCCUAUAUAAUUUUCAAAGUGUCAUUAGCUACUAAGUGAUUAGGGAAAGUAAGGAGGGCAGAUAAAAGAGAUGUCAUAUCUGACUGGUUAUUGCUGUAUGCAUGGAAAGAAUAUCACACGAAGCCCUAAUAAUAUAUACACUUAAUACCUGUGGACAGAAUUAGUUCCAUUUAAUUUAAUAUAAUCACCUGACGCUUACUGAAUAUCUGGUGUAAGACUUGAGAUUCAGCAAGAGCACAGGAGUACAAAAUUUUGAGGUAAAGACAAGAGAGCACACAAAUAGAGACCCACAAACAUUUAUCCUUCCUGAGUGAAGGACAGAGUGUACACUUUGGGAAGUGAUGUUUAUAUUUCAGAAGGAUGGAACAAACAAAAGCCCUUGGUUGCACGGAAGAAGGUUGCUUUGUGGAUGGAUUUGACAGACAUUAUUAUAUUUCUGAUAUGCAUGUGGUUGGUUUUAGCUCUUACAGGAUAUGUGUCUCUAUGUUACAAUUGAGGCAGAUGAUAAGAGAAAAGGCUACAUGCCACAUGCUUAAGGUUAGAAAAGUAGUAAAACCCAGUUUGGAGCCAGGCACUAAGCUCACAUCUUGAGGGCAAGUGAGAUUGUCUUGGACUUGUGUGCAGUAAGGAAAACAAUGGCCAUGUGAGAAACGUGAUGUAAUGACCAGUAUCAGAUGGUCAGCAGAAGCGGCUGGUGUGGUGGCAAUGUGAAAGAAAGCAGGAGGCUAUGGAAAUGCAGAGGAGGGAAAGCUUUAGGAAAUGAGCAGAAGUCAGUAAGAGAUAAAGCACUUCUAAAAUCUCCAGCAAGACCAUAGCAGUAACUGUGAUGGCCAGACAUUUCCAUGGUUUGUGUGUUGAAUUGGAGGAGAUGUCUCAGGGUCUGCCAAACUCCACAAGUAUGGAGACGGUGGUCAAAGGACAGAGAGAGUAAAACAUUGAGUAAGAAUCUAGGAUAAAGCUUGGUUAAAAGGAGAGUAGCAUUAUGAAAGCAAAACAGGAAAGCAGACUGAGAAGACAGGCUGAGGGCUCAUUCAGGAGUAGCCAAGUGCCAAAGCACAGAUGAUUUUUCUUUACGUGUUUGUCUGUUUGAAGACGGGAGAACUAGGAAGUUUGCAUAUAGUAAGAGGAUUCCAGUAAUGAAGAGGAUAUUUCAGGAUGAUCUAGGUAAGGAAGGCUUUAGAAGUAAAGAGACAAUAGUGAUUGAAUGACAAAGAGGCAGGUACUGGAGAUGGGAGGACCUAGACAGACAUGUUCCAAGGCCACAGAUGACACUUCUCAUUGCCUUUUCUAUUAGGUGACAGGGGCACCAGAAUCUGUGUGGAGAAUGUAGAGAGAUAUAAUAUAUGAGUGAAGCUACUGAGGAAACUCCUGAAAAAUAUUUAAAUGCAUAGGUGAGAAAAUAUAGUAGCUGAUAUGGUAACAGAAAAAAUAAUUACUGGCCCUCAUUGUCAGUGAAGGAAGGGGACCAGAAGAGAUCACAGUAUAUAAAGAAAUGUGUGGAGUGUGGGUCAAUGGCAGACGCUUCCAGAGAGAAGACUGAGUAAAGUAUUGUACUAUAUUGUACCAAACUGAAAAUGAAAACAGAAUUUACGUUAAUAAUAAACACAAUGAGUAAAAACUUGCUUGUGGUCUUUCCAUGUCAGGUGCUAAGGCAAUUAGUUUGUCGUUGCUGUUUUAUUAGUAGUAUUGGGGAUUAAACACACAGCAUUGUGCAUGCUAGGUGAGUAUUAGACCACUAAGUCGUAGCCCUAGCCUAGA
Molecule: non-coding RNA, 2996 nt
Organism: Rattus norvegicus (Norway rat)
Lineage: Eukaryota; Metazoa; Chordata; Mammalia; Rodentia; Muridae
Source: RefSeq, a predicted model, not a curated record